RNAcentral lists this ribosomal RNA (253 nucleotides) under uncultured bacterium. RNAcentral's name for it is "partial 16S ribosomal RNA". It matches the Rfam family "Bacterial small subunit ribosomal RNA", at positions 524 to 776 of the family's 1533-position model. The record is from RNAcentral.
UACAGAGACUGCAAGCGUUAUUCGGAUUCACUGGGCGUAAAGCGUGCGCAGGCGGUUUUGUAAGCCAGAUGUGAAAUCCCCGGGCUUAACCUGGGAAUGGCAUUUGGGACUGCAAGGCUUGAGUGCGGCAGAGGAGACUGGAAUUCCCGGUGUAGCAGUGAAAUGCGUAGAUAUCGGGAGGAAUACCGAUGGCGAAGGCAGGUCUCUGGGCUGACACUGACGCUCAUGCACGAAAGCGUGGGGAGCAAACAGG